RNAcentral lists this ribosomal RNA (268 nucleotides) under uncultured fungus. RNAcentral describes it as "partial small subunit ribosomal RNA". The stretch from base 134 to 268 matches the Rfam family "Eukaryotic small subunit ribosomal RNA", at positions 731 to 864 of the family's 1831-position model. Lineage: Eukaryota; Fungi. The record is from RNAcentral.
GAAUCGCCAAGGUCUACGGUCCGUCGAACGACGAGUACCGGAUCUCGGCUUCCUAUCUUCCGGUCAACCCUCGGUUCUCCGUUCCGCUCCUUUCUUCCUUCUUGGAGGGGGGGGGUGGGUCCAACGGGUUCCGAUCAAAGGGGUUCCGGAUCGUUUACUUUGAAAAAAUUAGAGUGUUCAAAGCAGGCGUAACCUAGCACGAAUACAUUAGCAUGGGAUAAUAGAAUACGACUUUGGUCUUAUUUUGUUGGUUUCUAAGGCUAAAGUA